RNAcentral lists this transfer RNA (90 nucleotides) under Chloroflexota bacterium. RNAcentral's name for it is "Chloroflexi bacterium tRNA-Ser". It matches the Rfam family "tRNA". Rfam says of the family: Transfer RNA (tRNA) molecules are approximately 80 nucleotides in length. Their secondary structure includes four short double-helical elements and three loops (D, anti-codon, and T loops). The record is from RNAcentral. Lineage: Bacteria; Bacillati; Chloroflexota.
GGGUGCUAAGUAUGGAGAAAAGCACCCGCCUGCUAAGCGGGUAGGGGGUGUAAAGCUCCCUCGCAGGUUCAAAUCCUGUCCUCCCCGCCA